UGAGGAAUAUUGGUCAAUGGGCGCAGGCCUGAACCAGCCAAGUCGCGUGAGGGAGGACGGUCCUACGGAUUGUAAACCUCUUUUGUCGGGGAGUAACGUGCGGGACGCGUCCCGUAUUGAGAGUACCCGAAGAAAAAGCAUCGGCUAACUCCGUGCCAGCAGCCGCGGUAAUACGGAGGAUGCGAGCGUUAUCCGGAUUUAUUGGGUUUAAAGGGAGCGCAGGCUGCGAGGCAAGUCAGCGGUCAAAUGUCGGGGCUCAACCCCGGCCUGCCGUUGAAACUGUCCUGCUAGAGUUCGAGUGAGGUAUGCGGAAUGCGUUGUGUAGCGGUGAAAUGCAUAGAUAUGACGCAGAACUCCGAUUGCGAAGGCAGCAUACCAACUCGCGACUGACGCUGAGGCUCGAAAGCGUGGGUAUCGAACA
Molecule: ribosomal RNA, 421 nt
Filed under: uncultured Barnesiella sp.
Lineage: Bacteria; Pseudomonadati; Bacteroidota; Bacteroidia; Bacteroidales; Barnesiellaceae
Description: bacterial SSU rRNA
Rfam family: Bacterial small subunit ribosomal RNA
Source: RNAcentral